CCGCCAGGCACGCCGGGGGCUGUAGUCUUCCCGCGGGGUGAAGGGGGGCGCGGCGCGGCUGCGCGGUGCGGCGGCCCGGGCGGGGGGCGGUCAGCCGGCGGCGGGGCCGGCCGGAUCCGGGCUGGCACGCCCACCCCUGCGGCGGCGGAGGGCGGCGAGGGCGGCUCGGUCGCCCGGCGGGGACGGUCCUUUCCUCUCCCCUCCCUCCUUCCCUCCCCGCCCGUCCCCGGCACCUGCCCGGCCCUCGGCCCCUCCCGCGGACAACAGCGGCCCGCACACCGCCGGGGGAGCCGCUUCCCCUCCGCCGCCGCUCGCCCCGAGCCGGGAUGUUCUCCAGGAAGGGCCACGCCGAUGUCAGGAAAUCCACCCAGAAGGCGCUGGACCCCAAGCGGGACGUACUCACCCGCCUCAAGCACCUCCGGGCGCUGCUGGAUAUUGUGGAUGGAAGUGACCUGAAGCAAUUUUUUGAGAACAAUUAUUCUCAAAUUUAUUUUAUAUUCUAUGAAAACUUCAUAACACUGGAAAAUAGCUUGAAACAAAAAGGGAAUAAAUCACAAAGGGAGGAGCUGGACUCCAUUCUCUUUCUUUUUGAAUUUUGUUUCCUGCAGAAGAUAUUGCAGCUACUACCUGAGAGGAUUUUUUAUCGAUGGCAUUUUCGCAGUAUAGGGUCGAUUCUGAAGAAACUUUUGCACACUGGAAAUUCUCUCAAGAUAAGAUGUGAAGGAAUCCGACUGUUUCUUCUCUGGCUUCAAGCGCUUCAGACUAACUGUGCGGACGAGCAGAUACUAAUAUUUGCGUGCCUUGUGCCUGGCUUUCCACCUAUUAUGUCCUCACGAGGUCCCUGUACACUAGAUAACCUCAUUAGUCCUCCUGUUUCGCCAGACGCUAAGAUUUUUCCAGAAGAAAUAACCCCACUUUUGCCAGCUGUCUCUGGAGAGAAAAUUGCUGAAGACCAAACCUGCUAUUUUCUUCAGCUGCUAUUAAAAUAUAUGGUAAUUCAGGCUGCAAGCUUAGAGUGGAAGAAUAAGGAGAACCAAGACACUGGUUUUAAGUUUCUCUUUACCUUGUUUAGAAAAUACUAUCUUCCUCACUUGUUUCCAUCUUUUACAAAGCUAACCAACCUCUACAAACCUGUUCUUGAUAUUCCCGAUGUAAGGCCAAGACCAGUAUACAUCACUGCAACACGAAACAACGAAAAUGUCUACAGCACGAAAAUCCCAUAUAUGGCAGCUCGCGUUGUUUUUAUUAAGUGGCUUGUUACCUUCUUUCUUGAAAAGAAAUAUUUAACUGCUGUUCAGAAUACAAAAAAUGGAGGAGAAGUGCUCCCUAAAAUUAUUCAGACUGUUGGUGUUGUAAACCAAGAUAAAAACGCAGAGCUGGAAACCAGUAUGCCUUACGCAAGCGAGCAGGAGAGAAACCAUUCUAACAGCAGCACCUUGUCCGACAGAAGGCUCAGCAAUUCCAGCCUCUGCAGCAUCGAAGAGCAGCAUCGGACCGUCUAUGAGAUGGUGCAGAGAAUCCUCUUAUCCACUCGAGGAUAUGUUAACUUUGUUAAUGAGGUGUUUCGACAAGCGUUUUUACUGCCGCCUUCUGAUGUAUCAGCAACGCGAAAAGUCGUUAAGGUCUAUCGAAAGUGGAUAUUGCAAGAGAAACCUGUGUUCAUGGAGGAGCCGGACAAAAAGGAAGACAGUCAGGACGCUGUUGUCAACUUAGAGGAUUCAUCAGUGCAAACGGAUGGUAAACAUCUUUCCUCUGACCAUUCAGGACAUAAGCGCUCGUCCAGCUGGGGAAGAACGUACUCCUUUACCAGUGCUGUUAACAGAGGAUGCAUAUUAGAAGAUGAGGACAAAAAUGUUAAAGCUGGUGCUCAAGCUGCGUUACAGGUAUUCUUGACAAACUCUGCGAACGUUUUCUUACUGGAACCAUGCAUUGAAGUCCCGGUGCUUCUGAAGGAGCAAGUUGAUGCUUGCAAAGCAGUUCUGAGUAUCUUUAGGCGCAUGAUAAUGGAACUGUCAAUGAAUAAAAAGACAUGGGAACAGAUGUUACAGAUACUGCUUAGAAUAACGGAAGCUGUGAUGCAGAAGCCAAAAGAAAACCAAAUAAAGGAUAUGUUCGCUCAAAGCAUGUCGGGAUUACUUUUCCGAACCCUCAUUGUGGCUUGGAUCAGAGCAAACCUGAGCGUUUACAUUUCUCGGGAGCUGUGGGAUGAUCUGCUUAGCGUUCUGUCCGCCCUCACGGACUGGGAGGAGCUCAUAAACGAGUGGGCCAACAUCAUGGACUCCCUAACAGCGGUGCUGGCAAGAACGGUGUAUGGGGUGGAAAUGACAAACUUACCCUUGGAUAAGCUCAGUGAACAAAAAGAAAAAAAGCAGAGAGGAAAAGGUGGCAUUUUAGAGCCUCAGAAGACAGCGGUAGUGGGAAGAUCUUUUUCAUUAAGCUGGAAAAGUCAUCCUGAAAUUGUGGAGCCAAUGAGAUUCAGAAGUGCUACGACUUCUGGAGCCCCGGGAGUUGAGAAAGCAAGAAAUAUUGUUCGUCAAAGAGCAACAGCUAAGCGAAGCCAGUCUAUCAGCAACUGUGUUCAUCUUUAUGAGGCUUUGCCAGCUACUAAAAGUGUACCUCUUCUGCUUCACACUGUGAGCUCUCUCUUACCUGGUAUCUCUUACACUUCUUGCUCUCACAGACUGUCAGAAGUUGAAGAAUCUCAACAGCUGGAAAAUUCAACAGGAACAGAAGCUACGGGCCUAUUUGUAGACCAAGAGCAGCAGCUAACUCGAAGUAGCAGCACUUCAGAUAUUACAGAUCAGUUUCCAUCUGAUGUUUUUCAAGGUAAAAAGGCUGGGAGUUCGCAUAAUUUAUCGUCUUCAGACUCCAAAUCAGUUCAGGAAAAUAAGGGAUGUACAAAGAAGGAACACGAAGCUGAGCAAGUACUGGUACGAAGAAGCAGUAGUACAGCUGAAUUAGAUCUGAAAGCAGAUUUGCAGCAAUCACAUGGAAAUUAUAGAGAGAGAGAAAAAAGUGAAAGCGUUAGCAGUGACACAUCGAUUGGCUAUAAUAAUGAAGUAGAGAUCGCACUCAUCCCCUGGCAACCUUCUGAAGAAGACCAUGAAGUUAAUGCAUCGGCAGAUGUUUGUGCAGAUCCCGAUGCACCUCGCUGGCUUCAGCUUAGUCCUUCAGAUACUGCAAAUUUAACAGACAGUAGCGAAUUCCUUGCUGAUGACUGCAGUAUAAUUGCUGGUGGAAGCCUUAUUGGUUGGCACCCUGAUUCUGCUGCUGUGUUAUGGAGGAGGAUCUUGGGAAUUCUUGGAGAUGUAAACAACAUAAAGUCACCUAAAAUCCAUGCAAAAGUUUUUGGGUAUCUUUACGAGUUGUGGUAUAAACUUGCAAAGAUACGGGACAACCUUGCUAUAAGUGUGGACAAUCAGUCUACUCCUUCUCCUCCUGUCUUAAUUCCUCCUCUCAGAAUAUUUGCAUCGUGGUUGUUCAAGGCAACCACCCUGCCAAAUGAAUAUAAGGAAGGCAAACUUCAGGCGUACAGGCUGAUCUGCGCUAUGAUGACUAGGCGUCAAGACGUUCUGCCAAAUUCUGAUUUCCUGGUUCAUUUUUAUUUUGUGAUGCACCUUGGCUUAACAAGCGAAGACCAGGAUAUCUUAAAUACUGUCAUAAAGCACUGCCCACCUUGGUUUUUCUUCCUGGGCUUACCUGGCUUUACGAUGCUGAUCGGAGACUUCAUUACGGCGGCGGCCAGGGUUCUGAGCACCGACGCGCUGGAGGCUCCCCGUUCAGAAGCUCACACCAUCCUUGGUUCUCUUGUCUGCUUUCCAAAUAUCUACCAAGAAAUCCCACUCUUGCGGCCCAUUUCAGAAGCCGGUGAUAUCAUUGCAGGAACAGCAGAUGUGAAGUGCUACCUCAUAAAUAUUUUACUGAAGAACGCUACAGAAGAGCCAAGUGAAGCUGCAAGAUGCAUAGCCAUUUGUGGCCUUGGAGUUUGGAUAUGUGAAGAGCUAACGCAGUGCACAAACCAUCCCCAAGUGAAGGAGGCAAUCAAUGUCAUAGGUGUGACACUGAAGUUUUCUAAUAAACUGGUGGCUCAAGUAGCCUGUGAUGUUCUUCAGCUGCUGGUUUCUUACUGGCAAAAGCUCCAGAAGUACGAAUCCUCUCUGUCCAGAAAAAUUACCGAAAUCCUCGUGGCCACUAUUGCAUUUCUUUUGCCGAGUGCUGAAUACUCCUCUGUGGAAGCAGAUAAAAAGUUUAUCGUUUCACUGCUACUUUGCUUGUUGGAUUGGUGUAUGGCAUUACCCAUGAAAAUGCUGCUGGAGCCGGUGUCUGCUGGUGUUCUUGAAGAUCAACAUACGUCCAAAGCUCCUCUACUGGACUAUAUUUACAGAGUUCUGCACUGUUGCGUGAAUGGCUCCAGCACGUAUACCCAGCAAAGCCAUUACGUGCUGAGUCUGGCGGAUCUCUCGUCCAGCGAUUACGACCCAUUUUUGCGACUGGGGAAUGUCAAGAGCUCUGAGCCAGCCCAGUGCCACUCCUCCGCGGAUUUGGGCAACCUGCUCACUGUCGCCGAGGAAAAAAGGAGGAGGAACUUAGAAUUGAUCCCUUUGACAGCGCGGAUGGUUAUGACUCACCUGGUGAAUCACCUGAGCCACUACCCGCUCAGCGGAGGCCCUGCCAUUCUCCACAGUCUCCUUAGUGAGAACCACGACAACUCCUACGUGGAGUCCUCAGAGCUGUCCUCGGAAGUCUUCCGGAGUCCCAACCUGCAGCUCUUUGUGUUUAAUGACAGUACUCUUAUAUCUUACCUCCAAAUCCCUGCAGAGAAGACGACAGACACUGAACCACCAGCAUCCCCCUCGGACGUAAGAGUGAUUGUCAGAGAUAUCUCAGGGAAGUACUCUUGGGAUGGCAGAAUAUUGUAUGGACCUUUGGAGGGCUGCCUUCCACGGCAGAGCGCAACAAACGCGUUUGUGAUCUCAGGCAACCCUGAACACCACUUCGUUUCCCAGAAGGACAUUUCUCAGGUGGAAGAAGGAGAAGAUGCUCUCGACCAACUGCUGGAAAAGAUCGGUAACACCAGUCCUGAAUGCCUUUUACAUCCCCAGCGAAAGCUGAAUGAGCCAUCGCCACCACCCUUUGGUAUGAGCUAUGACCAAGAGAACGCGAUCACUGAAGCCCUAAUGAGGCAGAGUGCCCAGGAAAAAGAGUACAUAUUUAAAUGCAGCUCGGACUUCAGUAUGAAGGUGGCCCGUCAAGAAGAACCACGUCCUGCUGAACCUCAAGCGUCCUUUUAUUUCUGUCGGCUGUUGCUAAAUGACUUGGGAAUGAACUCCUGGGAUAGAAGGAAAAGCUUUCAUCUUCUUAAGAAAAAUUCAAAAUUACUGCGAGAACUGAAAAAUCUGGACUCCCGCCAAUGCCGUGAAACUCACAAGAUUGCGGUGUUUUACAUUGCCGAAGGACAGGAGGACAAAUGUUCAAUACUGUCCAAUGCAAGGGGAAGCCAGGCAUAUGAAGAUUUUGUUGCUGGACUGGGCUGGGAGGUGGAUCUUUCAACACAUGGUGGGUUUAUGGGUGGCCUGCAGCGCAAUGGCAGCACAGGACAAACGGCACCCUAUUAUGCUACCUCGACCGUGGAAAUCAUUUUUCAUGUGUCUACAAGAAUGCCAUCAGAUUCAGAUGAUUCACUGACCAAAAAGCUUCGUCACUUGGGAAAUGAUGAGGUUCACAUCGUCUGGUCUGAACACACCAGGAACUACCGCAGGGGCAUUAUACCAACAGAUUUUGGAGAUGUUUUAAUUGUUAUUUAUCCAAUGAAGAAUCACAUGUUUUUCAUAGAGAUCAUGAAGAAACCGGAGGUGCCAUUUUUUGGUCCUCUCUUCGAUGGCGCGAUCGUGACUGCAAAGCUGCUGCCAAGCCUCAUAUGUGCCACGUGCAUCAAUGCCAGCAGAGCCGUCAAGUCCCUCAUCCCGCUCUACCAGAGCUUUUAUGAGGAAAGAGCUCUGUAUCUCGAAGCAAUAAUCCAGAACCAUAAAGAAGUAAUGACGUUUGAGGAUUUUGCCGCUCAGGUCUUUUCUCCCUCUCCCAGCUACUCCCUCGGUGGAACUGAUUAGAAUAUGUAAUGGUCUCGUUACGGUAAUUGCUGCAGUCAAUGGUCUUGAAGUAUAAAUCUGGCUGCCUCACCACGAGCGCGAGCGCGGACCUGACUGUCACCAUAGGAAUAGAGUUAGCAGAGCAGACCUCCCCCACGUUACCACGUGCCUCCAAGAGCAGAGUCUCUGGGAAGCUUCGCCGCUCCGCCAGCGCUCUCAGCAAGUCUUCCAACUAAGCUGCUGCGGGAGCAGAACUCCGCAGGGACCCAGAAGACCUUAAAAGAAGAGAAAUUAUUUACUGCCUCUAGAGAACUCGCAGUUUGGGAUGAGCACAUGUUGAAGGGGACGGGCAAGGGGUUUGCUCUGGAAAACUGCAGUUCUCGCAUUCAGACAGACGUGGCCGAUGAUGGGACGUCACCUGCAUUAUCGUUGUGCGUUUCACUCCAUCGUUUCCGUCACAAAGCGAAGGAAGGCGGCGGGGAGCUCUCACCGCCGGUGUGGCAUCGGGCGGGUGGCAGCACGCACUUCUUCUCCCCGAGCACCUGUGUACAAGUACUGGUGUGGCAGCAAGAGGACAUGAACCAGUAUUGAAACCAGUUAUUUAAUGUAACUUUAGAGCACUGCUUUUAGUCGUUCCGGUCAACACUUAAUUGUAUGUUAGGGAAUUUUGUCUAAAUAGAGGUUUUUCAUAUGACUAGCCACGUAACGAAUGUUCCCCUCCUCUGGCGCGCGGGUGAAUGAUGGAGGUGCUUUCCAGUCCGUGUUCAACCCCUGCUCCCCUUCUGUGGUCAUCCGGCACCAGUUCUGUGCAUGUAGCUAAGAAUCAGUAGUCAUCAAAGAGGUCAUUUACCUGGAGUUCCGGAGGGUACUGCCAGCGUCACAAAGUGGCAGCAGCUGCAUUAAAAUCUGUUUAAUCACGGUAUCUUGUUCAAAGUCAUCCAUCACUAACCUAUCGUGUAAAAUCCUGAAGCCGAAGAUGUUCCAGCCCCGCUCGCUCGUGCCGGGUCCAGCGCAGGAGAGCAGAGGACCAGGCUCCUCCUUAGCGCCCGUCGGGUGCCCACCUGCGGCAGAGGUGGGGUGACUGGGGUGGCAGCAUCCAGCGCAGGCGGGAGGUGCCAGGUGGCAGCCACCGCGCCAGCUGGGGUCAACCAUUUACCUUCAGGCCUUCGCGUUUAUUUUCGAGAGGAGCCCUCUUCCUCAUGCUGGCUCUGGCUUCGGGGUUGCUGUCUCCUGCGCAAUAGUGCAUGCGAUGGCGGUGUACUGCGAACUACUCACGAGACAAACAAAAUGAACCACAUUUCUUUUUGAAGAGCAAAUGCCACCACCCAUGUGCCACGACUGCUCACCACGGUUGGAAUAAUUGGAGAGUACACCUGUUAGGUAACCACCUCGCCUUGUCACAACGUCAGGGCAACAGUCCGCAACUUGAAGCACCUCUGGUUAGAAUAAAAUAAAGCCGAAGGCUUUGGAGGACGUGCAGCGUCCCCUUGGCACUUUGCGUAGUAAGCAAAUCUGGUAUUUUCCAUCGGAAGUGCAUUGCAGUCUAUGCGUAUCGUAGGUUUCUGGGGGUUAAAACUUUUUAUAGCUGAAAAAAAAAAACCCUGUAACAUAAGACCACAAGAAAUCUGAGGGACACCCUGCAGCCACUCGCUGUGAAGGAGGGUGGCCAGCCGGAAGGCAAAGAGCUGUCGCUGCUCCACCGUGAAGGGACUUCUGAGAGACACCGCGCGCAGCAGAACGUCAGCUGGGAAGGGACCCACCAGCGGCCGAUGCGGAGCUGGGCGCCCCGUUCAGCCUGAGCACACGGGGGCGAGGAGAAGAGGCGGCUGUAAAGCAAAUGCCAACUGCGUUAACAUUAGUUCUUGAUGUUUUGAACAUUGGUGUCUGCCCGUUCUCGAGUGUUGCGUCCGGCCCCUCCAGCCCUCCAAACCCUCCUCAGGUCUGGUUCACCUUGUUGCUUUUUGGGGUUUUUUUUGUUUGUUUUGCUACUUGGCAUUCAAAUGCAGACCUCUCAACUUAAUGCGCUUUGGUUUAAGUGACAAGGGUUUGGUUUUUGGUGAAGCAAAAUGCACCACUGGGCCACCAUUAUUUUGGUUUUGCACUUCUUAACUUGGGCGUUAGCGUGACCGUCCGUCUGUUUGUGUGUCAGCGUCCGGCCCUGUGACGUCCCUGUAAAUAGUCUCUUUUGUAACUCUCGCCAGGAACAUGGAGGGAGCUCCGUACUUCGCUGUGGGCUCGGUGCAGCGGGUUCUGUGGCCGGCGGGGCAGGCGGCUCAGCCCACGCUGCCCGGAGCAGGAGCCGGAGCCGGUGGCGCUGAGCAGGGACCUGCUGGCACGCCAGGACACGGGCGACGCAGCCGUCCUGCUGGGAAGGAGCCUUGUUUGCUAAGGGGUUUGAUUUUCUGCCUCACGUUUUGGUUUUGAUUUCUACUGAUUGCGUGUCGGUAAAGGAAAUUAGAAAAUAAAACACGUAUUUAAUUUAUUUUCUUUUCAGGACUGGAUAGGCGAGGCUGUCUUGUUAAGUUAUCUUGUUAGUUAUCCAAUAAAUGGUCUGAAAUAAUUUCAAAGGCAUUCUUCUGAAUAAAAGGAGACUUUUCUCUUUAGAGCAAUAUGCAUCUCUAAUUCAGGGAAAAAUUAAAACGCCGAUGAAAAUAGUAUUUUCCUGAUGUCAAAAAAAAACCCUAAAAAAUAUUAAUUUGUAAAAACAAAUUCAACUGCGGUUUUGUACUAUGGACUGUUCUGUCACCCCUCACAAACUUAAUAAACCUGAGCUCACAACGAAA
Molecule: RNA transcript, 8869 nt
Organism: Chroicocephalus ridibundus (black-headed gull)
Lineage: Eukaryota; Metazoa; Chordata; Aves; Charadriiformes; Laridae
Gene: RALGAPA2
Gene name: Ral GTPase activating protein catalytic subunit alpha 2
Exons: 42
Source: RefSeq, a predicted model, not a curated record